ACCCUGGAUAGCUCAGUUGGUCAGAGUGUGGUGCUGAUAACACCAACGUUGCAGGUUUGAUCCUUGUAUGGGGCA
Molecule: non-coding RNA, 75 nt
Organism: Podarcis lilfordi (Lilford's wall lizard)
Lineage: Eukaryota; Metazoa; Chordata; Lepidosauria; Squamata; Lacertidae
Source: the annotation of a GenBank genome assembly